This is a long non-coding RNA of Gallus gallus (chicken), 688 nucleotides long. The record is from Ensembl. Lineage: Eukaryota; Metazoa; Chordata; Aves; Galliformes; Phasianidae.
GGAAGGAUGUUGCAUGGAGCUGAAACUGGCAGAUGUUUUCCUGCUGAGGCGUCCUAGGGAAUUCCCCUCAGACAGAGCAUGUUGAAUUUCAGCUUCUUUGCCACAGUUCCACAUUCAGCUUAAUGCAGCUUACAUACACACCCCUGGGUGAGUGUGUCAGACUGGCUUCCAGUGUGUGCCAGAACAGCAUGAGGGGGAGAGCUGAGGAGGCAGUGGAAGAAAGAGAAGAAAAAGAAAAUCUCUUCAAAAAUAGUGGUAAGCCAACAAGCUAAUGAGAAGUCUUGCUGCCACAGUCAAUGUCCCAAGUGCCUUGUGAGGGGCCUGAAGAUGUCUGUCACAGCAGCACCCAAAUCAUGUGGAAUUUAGUCCAUUUCAUGUCACUGGCCUAGGAGCACCAGCUGCCCCAUCCCAUCCCAAGGAAGCUGUCAGCAGCUUUGAGUAUGUCAUAGUUUGAUAAUUUUGGGUUACUGGUAUAUACUCUCAGUCUCAUCUGGGAGCAUGGGAUGGAAACCUCACGUCACCUUCCAUAAAUAUCAUCCUCAUUGUUACGGGACUUUGAUUAUAAUCUGUCACUUUGCAUGAUUUUGAAUGCUUGUAUGCAUAAUGAGGGCAAUAAAAUACUCUCAGCUCUCUGUCAGUUUGGGCAGAUUUGCCAAAGAUUGAGAUCCAUUAUUAAAUUAACUUCUGC